UACGGAGGGGGCUAGCGUUGUUCGGAAUUACUGGGCGUAAAGAGCGUGUAGGCGGCCAGGUAGGUCCGCUGUGAAAACUCGAGGCUCAACCUCGAGAUGUCGGCGGAAACCAUCUGGCUAGAGUCCGGAAGAGGAGAGUGGAAUUCCUGGUGUAGCGGUGAAAUGCGCAGAUAUCAGGAAGAACACCCGUGGCGAAGGCGGCUCUCUGGGACGGUACUGACGCUGAGACGCGAAAGCGUGGGGAGCGAACAGG
Molecule: ribosomal RNA, 253 nt
Filed under: uncultured bacterium
Lineage: Bacteria
Description: partial 16S ribosomal RNA
Rfam family: Bacterial small subunit ribosomal RNA
Source: RNAcentral